This 794-nucleotide ribosomal RNA is filed under the name uncultured bacterium. Its description in RNAcentral is "bacterial SSU rRNA". It matches the Rfam family "Bacterial small subunit ribosomal RNA", at positions 8 to 796 of the family's 1533-position model. The record is from RNAcentral.
AGAGUUUGAUCAUGGCUCAGGACGAACGCUGGCGGCGUGCUUAACACAUGCAAGUCAAGGAGAAAGUUUCCUUCGGGAAAUUAGUAAACUGGCGCACGGGUGAGUAAUAUAUAAGCAAUCUACCCACGGGUUCGGAAUAACGUCGAGAAAUCGGCGCUAAUACCGUAUAAUGCAGCGGCAUCGCAUGAUGAUGUUGUUAAAGUUCAUGAAACGCCUGUGGAUGAGCUUGUAUCUGAUUAGCUUGUUGGUGAGGUAAUGGCUCACCAAGGCUACGAUCAGUAGCUGGUCUGAGAGGAUGAUCAGCCACAUUGGAACUGAGACACGGUCCAGACUCCUACGGGAGGCAGCAGUGAGGAAUAUUGGGCAAUGGGCGAAAGCCUGACCCAGCAACGCCGCGUGAAGGAUGAAUGUCGUAAGAUUGUAAACUUCUUUUUGAGGGGACGAAAAAACGGGUUAGAAGCUCGAAUUGACUGUACCCUUAGAAUAAGCCCCGGCUAACUACGUGCCAGCAGCCGCGGUAAUACGUAGGGGGCAAGCGUUGUCCGGAUUUACUGGGUGUAAAGGGCGCGUAGGCGGGUUUGUUAGUCAGAGGUGAAAUCCUGCAGCUCAACUGUAGAAUUGCCUUUGAUACUGCAAGCCUUGAGUUCGGAAGAGAGAGACGGAAUUCCAGGUGUAGUGGUGAAAUACGUAGAUAUCUGGAAGAACACCAGAGGCGAAGGCGGUCUCUUGGUCCGUAACUGACGCUGAGGCGCGAAAGCGUGGGGAGCAAACAGGAUUAGAUACCCUAGUAGUCC